RNAcentral lists this non-coding RNA (52 nucleotides) under unclassified sequences. RNAcentral's name for it is "6A RNA". It matches the Rfam family "6A RNA". Rfam says of the family: Actinobacteria (1 example), Firmicutes, Fusobacteria. The record is from Rfam by way of RNAcentral.
AGACCUGGUCGUAGAGCCACGACCAACUAAAAAUAAAGAAAGCUCACUGAGA